RNAcentral lists this ribosomal RNA (573 nucleotides) under [Malbranchea] flavorosea. Its description in RNAcentral is "partial 28S ribosomal RNA". It matches the Rfam family "Eukaryotic large subunit ribosomal RNA", at positions 37 to 625 of the family's 3401-position model. Lineage: Eukaryota; Fungi; Ascomycota; Eurotiomycetes; Onygenales; Malbrancheaceae. The record is from RNAcentral.
AGCAUAUCAAUAAGCGGAGGAAAAGAAACCAACAGGGAUUGCCUCAGUAACGGCGAGUGAAGCGGCAACAGCUCAAAUUUGAAAUCUGGCUCCUUCGGGGCCCGAGUUGUAAUUUGGAGAAGAUGCUUCGGGUGCGGUCCCGGCCUAAGUUCCUUGGAACAGGACGUCACAGAGGGUGAGAAUCCCGUACGUGGCCGGUGGCCGCCCCCGUGUGAAGCUCUUUCGACGAGUCGAGUUGUUUGGGAAUGCAGCUCAAAAUGGGUGGUAAAUUUCAUCUAAAGCUAAAUAUUGGCCAGAGACCGAUAGCGCACAAGUAGAGUGAUCGAAAGAUGAAAAGCACUUUGGAAAGAGAGUUAAACAGUACGUGAAAUUGUUGAAAGGGAAGCGCUUGCAACCAGACUUGCGCGCGGCCGAUCAUCCGGUGCUCGCACCGGUGCACUCGACCGCGCGCAGGCCAGCAUCGGUUUGGGCGGCUGGACAAAGGCCCCGGGAAAGUGACCCCUCUCGGGGGGUGUUAUAGCCCGGGGCGCAAUGCAGCCCGCCCGGACCGAGGACCGCGCUCCGGCUAGGAUG